Molecule: ribosomal RNA, 789 nt
Filed under: uncultured bacterium
Lineage: Bacteria
Description: bacterial SSU rRNA
Rfam family: Bacterial small subunit ribosomal RNA
Source: RNAcentral
AGAGUUUGAUCAUGGCUCAGGAUGAACGCUAGCGGCAGGCUUAACACAUGCAAGUCGAGGGGUAGUAGGUGCUUGCACUUAUGAGACCGGCGCACGGGUGCGUAACGCGUAUGCAACCUACCUUGAACAGGGGGAUAGCCCAGAGAAAUUUGGAUUAAUACCCCAUGGUAUUAUGAGAUGGCAUCAUCUUAUUAUUAAAGUCACAACGGUUCAAGAUGGGCAUGCGUCCCAUUAGCUAGAUGGUAAGGUAACGGCUUACCAUGGCAACGAUGGGUAGGGGUCCUGAGAGGGAGAUCCCCCACACUGGUACUGAGACACGGACCAGACUCCUACGGGAGGCAGCAGUGAGGAAUAUUGGUCAAUGGGCGCAAGCCUGAACCAGCCAUGCCGCGUGCAGGAUGAAGCAUCUAUGGUGUGUAAACUGCUUUUAUACGGGAAGAAACCCCGCCUCGUGAGGCGGAUUGACGGUACCGUAGGAAUAAGGACCGGCUAACUCCGUGCCAGCAGCCGCGGUAAUACGGAGGGUCCAAGCGUUAUCCGGAAUCAUUGGGUUUGAAGGGUCCGUAGGCGGGCCUGUAAGUCAGUGGUGAAAUCUCCCCGCUCAACGGGGAAACGGCCAUUGAUACUGCAGGCCUUGAAUUAUUAGGAAGUAACUAGAAUAUGUAGUGUAGCGGUGAAAUGCUUAGAUAUUACAUGGAAUACCGAUUGCGAAGGCAGGUUACUACUAAUGGAUUGACGCUGAUGGACGAAAGCGUGGGUAGCGAACAGGAUUAGAUACCCUAGUAGUCC